This 500-nucleotide ribosomal RNA is filed under the name uncultured bacterium. RNAcentral describes it as "partial 16S ribosomal RNA". It matches the Rfam family "Bacterial small subunit ribosomal RNA", at positions 30 to 523 of the family's 1533-position model. The record is from RNAcentral.
AUUGAACGCUGGCGGCAGGCCUAACACAUGCAAGUCGAGCGGAUGACGGGAGCUUGCUCCUUGAUUCAGCGGCGGACGGGUGAGUAAUGCCUAGGAAUCUGCCUGGUAGUGGGGGACAACGUUUCGAAAGGAACGCUAAUACCGCAUACGUCCUACGGGAGAAAGCAGGGGACCUUCGGGCCUUGCGCUAUCAGAUGAGCCUAGGUCGGAUUAGCUAGUUGGUGGGGUAAUGGCUCACCAAGGCGACGAUCCGUAACUGGUCUGAGAGGAUGAUCAGUCACCCUGGAACUGUGACACGGUCCAGACUCCUACGUGAGGCAGCAGUGGGGAAUAUUGGACAAUGGGCGAAAGCCUGAUCCAGCCAUGCCGCGUGUGUGAAGAAGGUCUUCGGAUUGUAAAGCACUUUAAGUUGGGAGGAAGGGCAGUAAGCUAAUACCUUGCUGUUUUGACGUUACCGACAGAAUAAGCACCGGCUAACUCUGUGCCAGCCGCCGCGGUAA